CAGCAGCCGCGGUAAUGCGAAGGGUGCAAGCGUUAAUCGGAAUUACUGGGCGUAAAGCGUGCGUAGGCGGUUUGUUAAGUCUGUUGUGAAAUCCCCGGGCUCAACCUGGGAAUGGCAAUGGAUACUGGCAAGCUAGAGUGUGUCAGAGGAUGGUGGAAUUCCCGGUGUAGCGGUGAAAUGCGUAGAGAUCGGGAGGAACAUCAGUGGCGAAGGCGGCCAUCUGGGACAACACUGACGCUGAGGCACGAAAGCGUGGGGAGCAAACAGGAUUAGAUACCCCCGUAGUCCCUGUCUCUUAUAA
Molecule: ribosomal RNA, 301 nt
Filed under: uncultured bacterium
Lineage: Bacteria
Description: partial 16S ribosomal RNA
Rfam family: Bacterial small subunit ribosomal RNA
Source: RNAcentral